Molecule: ribosomal RNA, 497 nt
Filed under: uncultured bacterium
Lineage: Bacteria
Description: partial 16S ribosomal RNA
Rfam family: Bacterial small subunit ribosomal RNA
Source: RNAcentral
GAUGAACGCUGGCGGCGUGCCUAAUACAUGCAAGUCGAGCGAACGGACGAGAAGCUUGCUUCUCUGGUGUUAGCGGCGGACGGGUGAGUAACACGUGGAUAACCUACCUAUAAGACUGGGAUAACUUCGGGAAACCGGAGCUAAUACCGGAUAAUAUUUUGAACCGCAUGGUUCAAAAGUGAAAGACGGUCUUGCUGUCACUUAUAGAUGGAUCCGCGCUGCAUUAGCUAGUUGGUAAGGUAACGGCUUACCAAGGCAACGAUGCAUAGCCGACCUGAGAGGGUGAUCGGCCACACUGGAACUGAGACACGGUCCAGACUCCUACGGGAGGCAGUAGUAGGGAAUCUUCCGCAAUGGGCGAAAGCCUGACGGAGCAACGCCGCGUGAGUGAUGAAGGUCUUCGGAUCGUAAAACUCUGUUAUUAGGGAAGAACAUAUGUGUAAGUAACUGUGCACAUCUUGACGGUACCUAAUCAGAAAGCCACGGCUAACUACGUG